UACGGAGGGAGCUAGCGUUGUUCGGAAUUACUGGGCGUAAAGCGCACGUAGGCGGCUUUGUAAGUUAGAGGUGAAAGCCCGGAGCUCAACUCCGGAACUGCCUUUAAGACUGCAUCGCUUGAAUCCAGGAGAGGUGAGUGGAAUUCCGAGUGUAGAGGUGAAAUUCGUAGAUAUUCGCAAGAACACCAGUGGCGAAGGCGGCUCACUGGCCCGAUACUGACGCUGAGGUGCGAAAGCGUGGGGAGCAAACAGG
Molecule: ribosomal RNA, 253 nt
Filed under: uncultured bacterium
Lineage: Bacteria
Description: partial 16S ribosomal RNA
Rfam family: Bacterial small subunit ribosomal RNA
Source: RNAcentral